This is a long non-coding RNA of Pezoporus occidentalis (night parrot), 692 nucleotides long. RefSeq lists it as uncharacterized. The transcript is spliced from 4 exons. The record is from RefSeq and is a predicted model, not a curated record. NCBI's taxonomy places the organism in Eukaryota, Metazoa, Chordata, Aves, Psittaciformes, Psittacidae.
AAAAAUAGCAGUGUGUGUUUGGGAACACUGCCUGGCUGUUCCUGCCAUAGGAUACUCACUGCCAUAGGAUACUCAGUUGCAUUUCCCUAUUGUGUCAGCUUGAGGCUUUUGACCCUGAAGGUGGAGCCAGACUUUCAAAUUCUUCACUGAAAUCCCAGCUGCUGCAGGACCCUCAUGGUUAACAAAACUUCUGGGACACCGUGAUAUCCAGGAUGAAGACAGUAAUAUGUAUUCAGGAGGGUGACGGUAUUUGGGAUGGCACUAGUGCAGAGAGGGCUAGAGAGGAAUUGUCUGCCCUCAAUGCACACCCCUGUAACGUCCAAGAGGCACAAUGUAUUCUCUGGAGCUGAGCCAUAAACAGAGGCUGCUGAAGACAAGAGUCAGCUGGAAGAUUAUGGUGAUAGAAUACUUUCUCUGUAAGCAAAGACAGCAGGAAUCAGAAGAAAGGAAGACAGAAGUCAUAUACACCGAUUUACCAGAAGUUGCCCUGAACCUUAGAUGACCCUUCUAGCAGUUUUGACUCUCAUUUUGCUGUCCCAGUCUCCAGAAACCAUUAACCGAAAGAUACAUUGCCAUCAUAAAUCCAAGUACUUAAGUACUAAGAACCUUUGUUGAAUCCAAAAUAAUACCCCGAAACUACAUAUACAAUAGUCUGCCUACACUGUAAUAAAGAAAUGGAUCCUGCCUCAUUA